UCCCUGGUGGUCCAGUGGUUAGGACUCUGUGCUUCUGCUGUACAGGGCACAGGUUCAAUCCCUGGUCAGGGAG
Molecule: transfer RNA, 73 nt
Filed under: Bos taurus (domestic cattle)
Lineage: Eukaryota; Metazoa; Chordata; Mammalia; Artiodactyla; Bovidae
Also listed under: 5 other names
Rfam family: tRNA
About the family: Transfer RNA (tRNA) molecules are approximately 80 nucleotides in length.
Source: Rfam by way of RNAcentral